AUUGAACGCUGGCGGCAGGCCUAACACAUGCAAGUCGAACGGUAACAGGAAGCAGCUUGCUGCUUCGCUGACGAGUGGCGGACGGGUGAGUAAUGUCUGGGAAGCUGCCUGAUGAGGGGGAUAACUACUGGAAACGGUAGCUAAUACCGCAUAAUGUCGCAAGACCAAAGAGGGGGACCUUCGGGCCUCUUGCCAUCGGAUGUGCCCAGAUGGGAUUAGCUUGUUGGUGGGGUAACGGCUCACCAAGGCGACGAUCCCUAGCUGGUCUGAGAGGAUGACCAGCCACACUGGAACUGAGACACGGUCCAGACUCCUACGGGAGGCAGCAGUGGGGAAUAUUGCACAAUGGGCGCAAGCCUGAUGCAGCCAUGCCGCGUGUAUGAAGAAGGCCUUCGGGUUGUAAAGUACUUUCAGCGGGGAGGAAGGGAGUAAAGUUAAUACCUUUGCUCAUUGACGUUACCCGCAGAAGAAGCACCGGCUAACCCCGUG
RNAcentral lists this ribosomal RNA (489 nucleotides) under uncultured bacterium. RNAcentral's name for it is "partial 16S ribosomal RNA". It matches the Rfam family "Bacterial small subunit ribosomal RNA", at positions 30 to 507 of the family's 1533-position model. The record is from RNAcentral.